UCUUAAUUUGAAUCCACCUCUGUUGAUGCAGCUCUGCUGAGAAGAUGAAAAUCAGUCGUUUUCCUGGAGCUACCGCUCAAGGAUGGAUCCACAGUCCCUUUGGAUGUGCUUGGUGGGCUGAAAACAGCAACAGAGUGGCAGGUCAAGGUGAUGGGGAGUCCUUCCUGUGCCUUCCCACACAGCUGGCUGGUGACUCCCUUUUACUCAGAGCUGCAGCAGACUGGCAGAGGAGCUCUCAGGUGGUUUUAUCCAUAGGGAGCCUGCAACCCCAACCUCACCAGCUGCUGAACCUCUGGGGACAUCAGCAUUCCUUCCUGGGACAACACAGGACCUACCUCACCCUAAGCAGAGACAGAUGAUCUCCAAGUGCUCCAUGCCUUCCCAGAAGCUGCUGUGGGGAGUGAUUUCUAAUCCAAAGAGAAUUUCUUCCUCCCAGCAUCCCUCAGAGACAUUUUCCUUUGCCCCAAAAGGCUUCCUGCUGUGUUGAGUCAUGCUCGAAGCGGUGCUUGUUAAAUAAGUGCCGCUGAGCUCUGCUUUAAACAAACGAAGUUGAUUUACCAGGGCUGUAGGAUGGCCAGGUAGCUAAGGUGUUAUUUAAGAGUAUUGGCACUUGGAAGGCCGAGUGCUAAAAGCACUUCAUUUUUAUUUCAGCUCUUAAUUGAAAAUCAGCUGGUUUGUCUUGUUCUCCUCCCCUGCUCCCAUCCCCACGCCGGGAUAAGGGCUGUUAACACCACACAGCGUGUUUGUCAAAAAGUGGCACCAGCCCAGGCUUUCACUUGUGGUUUAUUAGUUUAAUUACCCAGGGUCUUGCAAAGACUUCUCGGCGAGGCAGAAAUGAGAGAAUCUAAUGUUUCUUGGGCUGGAUCCUUACAUCACGUGAAGCCACCUGGUGAAGGCACCGAGGUAAAAACGUGGCUCCUGUGAUUAACCUUGACUGAAUUCAAUAAUACCUCGGAGUCACAUUAUUGCUGACCUUGUG
Passer montanus (Eurasian tree sparrow) is the source of this 979-nucleotide long non-coding RNA. RefSeq lists it as uncharacterized. The record is from RefSeq and is a predicted model, not a curated record. NCBI's taxonomy places the organism in Eukaryota, Metazoa, Chordata, Aves, Passeriformes, Passeridae. The transcript has 4 exons.